UAGCCGAAUGCAGUUCCGAAAGCUGGGUCC
Molecule: non-coding RNA, 30 nt
Filed under: Rattus norvegicus (Norway rat)
Lineage: Eukaryota; Metazoa; Chordata; Mammalia; Rodentia; Muridae
Source: RNAcentral